RNAcentral lists this ribosomal RNA (465 nucleotides) under uncultured bacterium. Its description in RNAcentral is "partial 16S ribosomal RNA". It matches the Rfam family "Bacterial small subunit ribosomal RNA", at positions 28 to 507 of the family's 1533-position model. The record is from RNAcentral.
GACGAACGCUGGCGGCGUGCUUAACACAUGCAAGUCGAACGGAAAGGCCCCUUCGGGGGUACUCGAGUGGCGAACAGGUGAGUAACACGUGAGUAACCUGCCCUUGACUUCGGGAUAACUUCAGGAAACUGGGGCUAAUACCGGAUAGGAAUCCUUGCUUCAUGGUGGGGGUUGGAAAGCUUCGGCGGUUUUGGAUGGACUCGCGGCUUAUCAGCUUGUUGGUGGGGUAGUGGCUUACCAAGGCUUUGACGGGUAGCCGGCCUGAGAGGGCGACCGGCCACAUUGGGACUGAGAUACGGCCCAGACUCCUACGGGAGGCAGCAGGGGGGAAUAUUGCACAAUGGGCGGAAGCCUGAUGAAGCAACGCCGCGGGCGGGAUGACGGCCUUCGGGUUGUAAACCGAUUUCAGCAGGGGCGAAGCUUGUGGUGACGGUACCUGCAGAAGAAGCACCGGCUAACUACGUG